CCUACGGGCGGCAGCAGUGAGGAAUAUUGGUCAAUGGGCGCGAGCCUGAACCAGCCAAGUCGCGUGCGGGAAGACGGCCCUAUGGAUUGUAAACUUCUUUUGUCCGGGGGCAAAAGGCGCCACGCGUGGCGUUCCGAAAGUACCCGAUGAAAAAGCAUCGGCUAACUCCGUGCCAGCAGCCGCGGUAAUACGGAGGGUGCGAGCGUUAUCCGGAUUUAUUGGGUUUAAAGGGUGCGCAGGCGGGAUGUUAAGCGCGGCGUGAAAUGUCGGGGCUCAACCUUGGCCGUGCGGUGAGAACUGGUUUGCUUGAGUGAGCGGAAAGUAUGCGGAAUUCGUGGUGUAGCGGUGAAAUGCAUAGAUAUCACGAAGAACUCCGAUUGCGAAGGCAGCAUACGGGCGCUCAACUGACGCUGAUGCACGAAGGUGUGGGUAUCGAACAGGAUUAGAUACCCCAGUAGUC
Molecule: ribosomal RNA, 460 nt
Filed under: uncultured bacterium
Lineage: Bacteria
Description: partial 16S ribosomal RNA
Rfam family: Bacterial small subunit ribosomal RNA
Source: RNAcentral